CCGGAGAAAAUUUAAUAAAAAGUAAAAUCACAAAAAUACUGGACUCAGAUGAAAAUCAAAUUUGGAAAGUCCCUAAUGACAUGGCAAAAUAAAAAUGACAAAACACAUCAAAAACUAAUGGACAACAACUGUCAUAUUCCUGACUUGGUACAGGCAUUUUCAAAUGUAGAAUAUGGUGGAUUGAAUCUGGUUUUAUAGCGCUAAACCUCUCAUGUUUAGAUUGUACGAAAGUCUCAUCAAAUUCCAUUAUAUUGAAAACGAUACAUGAACAAAAUGUCACAAAAAGGGGAAUAACAACAACACGGACCCAACCAAAACAGGGAGUGAUUACAUGUGCUCCGGAAGGGUAAUCAGAUUCUGUUCCACGUGUGGCACCUGUCGUGUUGCUCAUGUUAUUACAAAGCCGGUGAAUUGUCUAAUUAAAACACUGUUAUUACGCAAAUUAUACCGUUUUAAAAUACUCCAAAGGCAGCUGCUGUUGAACCGAACCUAACUCAAAUGAAAGGCUCGCAAUGAGAAAAUUGUAAUCAGCAUUUUAUACAGAACACAAUGUCUAGAUGUUAUUUAAGCUAUGAUGCACCGUUAAUUAUUUCUGUGAUAUCUAUCAUUUCAUGUAAAAUGCGAUUGCAAUGAUAUACAAAUAUAUACAAG
This 651-nucleotide long non-coding RNA is filed under the name Mytilus galloprovincialis (Mediterranean mussel). The record is from RNAcentral. Lineage: Eukaryota; Metazoa; Mollusca; Bivalvia; Mytilida; Mytilidae.